RNAcentral lists this ribosomal RNA (1001 nucleotides) under Podospora australis. Its description in RNAcentral is "LSU rRNA". It matches the Rfam family "Eukaryotic large subunit ribosomal RNA", at positions 75 to 1109 of the family's 3401-position model. Lineage: Eukaryota; Fungi; Ascomycota; Sordariomycetes; Sordariales; Podosporaceae. The record is from RNAcentral.
UUGCCCUAGUAACGGCGAGUGAAGCGGCAACAGCUCAAAUUUGAAAUCUGGCCUCGGCCCGAGUUGUAAUUUGUAGAGGAAGCUUUUGGCACGGCACCUGCUGAGUCCCCUGGAACGGGGCGCCAUAGAGGGUGAGAGCCCCGUAUAGCAGGACGCCUAGCCUCUGUAAAGCUCCUUCGACGAGUCGAGUAGUUUGGGAAUGCUGCUCAAAAUGGGAGGUAAAUUUCUUCUAAAGCUAAAUACCGGCCAGAGACCGAUAGCGCACAAGUAGAGUGAUCGAAAGAUGAAAAGCACUUUGAAAAGAGGGUUAAAUAGCACGUGAAAUUGUUGAAAGGGAAGCGCUUGUGACCAGACUUGCGCCGGGCUGAUCAUCCGAGGUUCUCCUCGGUGCACUCUGCCCGGCUCAGGCCAGCAUCGGUUCUCGCGGGGGGAUAAAGGCCCUGGGAACGUAGCUCCUCCGGGAGUGUUAUAGCCCGGGGUGUAAUGCCCUCGCGGGGACCGAGGACCGCGCUUCGGCAAGGAUGCUGGCGUAAUGGUCAUCAGCGACCCGUCUUGAAACACGGACCAAGGAGUCAAGGUUUUGCGCGAGUGUUUGGGUGUCAAACCCGCACGCGUAAUGAAAGUGAACGUAGGUGAGAGCUUCGGCGCAUCAUCGACCGAUCCUGAUGUAUUCGGAUGGAUUUGAGUAGGAGCGUUAAGCCUUGGACCCGAAAGAUGGUGAACUAUGCUUGGAUAGGGUGAAGCCAGAGGAAACUCUGGUGGAGGCUCGCAGCGGUUCUGACGUGCAAAUCGAUCGUCAAAUCUGAGCAUGGGGGCGAAAGACUAAUCGAACCAUCUAGUAGCUGGUUACCGCCGAAGUUUCCCUCAGGAUAGCAGUGUUGUUCUUCAGUUUUAUGAGGUAAAGCGAAUGAUUAGGGACUCGGGGGCGCUUUUUAGCCUUCAUCCAUUCUCAAACUUUAAAUAUGUAAGAAGCCCUUGUUACUUAGUUGAACGUGGGCAUU